Molecule: long non-coding RNA, 1738 nt
Organism: Dunckerocampus dactyliophorus (ringed pipefish)
Lineage: Eukaryota; Metazoa; Chordata; Actinopteri; Syngnathiformes; Syngnathidae
Exons: 3
Source: RefSeq, a predicted model, not a curated record
GACUAACACAUUUUUUCCUACUAAUGUACUGCGAUGUGUAUACACUAUAACUUAAAAUAAGCAAAAUAACCUCAAAUUAUGCCUUGCCAAAGUGCUUGAAAGUUCUGCUGGCAGAUUGUUCAUCUUAUUUUAAGAUGUGUAACUAAAAUUUGAAUGACUAUUACUUAAGAUAAGAAUACGCGUCUAAAAAAAUAUCUUGUUAGUCAAAAAUCUAUUUUUGCAGCUUUUCUGUUCCAAGUUCACAAAGCAACGUCCAUCAAGGCGUGCUUGGAUGAGUCUGGUGAGGAAAAAGUCCAUCAAACACCUUUGGGAUCCAACAUCAGUGACCUAUGACGGUCAGGGAGGCAGGGGAGAAACGUGAGAUGACCGACGCCUAUGAAGCAUUUAUUGUACAUAGUGCCUUCCUACAGCCUGUGUAAUGUCUUUCAGUCCACAGGCUUCCGGAUCAGCUCGUAGUACUCCGGCGCCUCCUUUCUGGAGGGAAGCUGGACAAAGCCUUUGCUGAUCUGUCGACCCACCCUGCAAAGACAAAACACGCUCAGAAGCCAUCGACCACACAACUUGCUCACACAGCCACCAUCAAGGCACGUGACCAUGUCCUCACCCGUCCUUGUAGUUGACCACCAUGUCCACCAGGGUGCUCAUUUGCCGGGUGAGCUCGGGUGGAUUCGGCGGCAGCUUCUCGGCCGGCGGCCGCCCUCGCUUCCGCUUGACCUUUUCUCCAGUUUCCUGCGCCGCCUGGAGCUCCUUGUCUCCGUGCUCGCCUUUACGCUUCUUCUGACCGCCGUCCUCCUCCAUCUCCUCCUUCCCUCCCGCUUGAGGCUGCGGUGAGACCAAACAAACUAACGAGCAACCCCAGGAGAUAACAAGGUCGUUUUAGGGAAACUCAUUUGUGUCUUUGUUAUCCUCAUGCUCAUUGUUAUGCUGCUUAAUGGCAGCUUAAUCACUUAGAAGGUUCCAAAUCAAUCAAAGGACACAAUGCCAUUUCAAAGCACUACUAAGCAUCCAUUCACAUUGCUCUGAGGUUAUCCCUUUGCUGCUCACAGUCACUAGGGGGCAUAUGUGCAAAAUAUCCGCUGAUCAGAUGUAUAAACUAAUGUUCCAUAUUUCAUUGCUUCCAUCAAACAAAUAAAAUGCUUGCACCGUUAAAAAAAAAAAAAAACAACAGUGUUCCAAAUUCAUAAAUAUAAUCCAAGGGUAGAGAAAUUGUAUGGCAAAACAACUACAUCGGCAUCAACUAAUCGGUGACAAAAAAUAAACAAAUAAAUAAUAAAAAAGCUAUGUAAUCAAAGAUUCAUUCAUGAAUUUUCUAUGCCGCUUAAUCCUCAUUAGUCCUUGGUAAUUGUCAUUAGAACCGCUAGCGGUAUGCUGGAGCAUAUCCCAUCUGACUUUGGGCGGGAGGCGGGAUACACCCUGGACUGGUCGCCAGCCAGUUGCACUGCUAAUUAAAGACUCAUUCUUUCAUUUAUUUUUUUCUAUUUACUGUAAUCUCUCACCACUUUGCGCUUCAUAUUUCGUGGCUUUACUAUCACGAUUUUUCAAAAAUAUAUUAAACUGCAACGUUUGAAGCACAAAGUGGCGAGCGAUGUAGUUUUGUGGUUGAGUACAGCCUAUUAGGAAAAAGAAAUGCAUAUUUAAGCGAAUUGUAUAUUUUUGCCUAAAUUAAGCCUUUUGAAGUAUAAAAAUGGCAAAAUGAAGUGAAAUACAAAUAUAAGGCAUUGAGAAGACACACUCAAAG